AGAGUUUGAUUAUGGCUCAGAACGAACGCUGGCGGCGUGCUUAAUACAUGCAAGUCGAACGAGAAAGGCUGACUUCGGUCGGCCCGGUAAAGUGGCGAACGGGUGAGUAACACGUGGGCAAUCUACCCUUUAAUCUGGGAUAAUCCUUCGAAAGGAGGUCUAAUACCGGAUAACACCAUAGGAUGGCAUCAUCUAGUGGUCAAAGGCGGAGCAAUCUGCCGUUAAGGGAUGAGCCCGCGCCCCAUUAGCUUGUUGGUGAGGUAACGGCUCACCAAGGCUUCGAUGGGUAGCCGGCUUGAGAGAGUGAUCGGCCACACUGGGACUGAGAUACGGCCCAGACUCCUACGGGAGGCAGCAGUAGGGAAUAUUGCGCAAUGGACGAAAGUCUGACGCAGCAACGCCGCGUGGGUGAUGAAGCAUCUUGGUGUGUAAAACCCUGUCAGUGGGGAAGAACCAUAUCGGUAGUAACUGACCGGUAUCUGACGGUACCCACAGAGGAAGCACCGGCUAACUCCGUGCCAGCAGCCGCGGUAAUACGGGGGGUGCAAGCGUUGUUCGGAUUUACUGGGCGUAAAGGGCGCGUAGGCGGGCCUUCAAGUCGGAUGUGAAAACUGGUAGCUUAACUACCAGCCUGCAUUCGAUACUAGAGGUCUUGAGUAUGGAAGAGGAAAGCGGAAUUCCAGGUGUAGCGGUGAAAUGCGUAGAUAUCUGGAAGAACACCGGUAGCGAAGGCGGCUUUCUGGUCCAAUACUGACGCUGAAGCGCGAAGGCUAGGGUAGCAAACAGGAUUAGAUACCCUGGUAGUCCUAGCGGUAAACGAUGGGUACUAGGUGUC
Molecule: ribosomal RNA, 835 nt
Filed under: uncultured candidate division TA06 bacterium
Lineage: Bacteria
Description: bacterial SSU rRNA
Rfam family: Bacterial small subunit ribosomal RNA
Source: RNAcentral